Long non-coding RNA from Calidris pugnax (ruff), 494 nucleotides. RefSeq lists it as uncharacterized. The record is from RefSeq and is a predicted model, not a curated record. The transcript has 4 exons. Lineage: Eukaryota; Metazoa; Chordata; Aves; Charadriiformes; Scolopacidae.
CAGUGCAGUCAGAGGUUGCACAAGUCACUGCCCCAAACCAGGCUUGACUUUCUGGGCUGGUGCUCACCUCUUCCAGCUGAGUGGCUGCCUGUGUUUCCGCGGGGGAGGCAGGAGGGAUCGCCUGGAGAACCCAGGCAUCGCUCCCAGCAUUUGCCUAAUAGGCACCUCGGAAAUGCAUCCUGGGAGCCGUGACUCUUUCUGAGCAGCAGCUGUUUCUCUCCGGUGAAGGGAGCAGAAGUCAUCAAUUCUCCCUCCUGGCUGACCCUGAACUGCUCACGCUGCAGGCAGGCCAGGCAGCAUCUGUCUGGGACACCUCUGAUGGGGCUGAAGGCACAAGAGGAAGAAGAGCCACGUAUGGAGCCAGAGGGAUGCUGGUGUGAACUGGGAACGAGAGCAGCUGAGCUUUGGGAUCAGCCUUUACUGGAGCCACCUGGGACCAAUUGCAUGGUCCUGCCCUGUUCUUGCAGGCAGCACAGCAUUCUUCUGGGGCAGAG